UACGUAGGCAGCAAGCGUUGUUCGGAGUUACUGGGCGUAAAGGGUGUGUAGGCGGUUGUUUAAGUUUGGUGUGAAAUCUCCCGGCUCAACUGGGAGGGUGCGCCGAAUACUGAAUGACUCGAGUGUGGGAGAGGUGAGUGGAAUUCUCGGUGUAGCGGUGAGAUGCGUAGAUAUCGAGAGGAACACCUGCGGCGAAGGCGGGUUGCUGGGCCGACACUGACGCUGAUGCGCGAAAGCCAGGGGAGCGAACGGG
RNAcentral lists this ribosomal RNA (253 nucleotides) under uncultured prokaryote. RNAcentral describes it as "partial 16S ribosomal RNA". It matches the Rfam family "Bacterial small subunit ribosomal RNA", at positions 524 to 776 of the family's 1533-position model. The record is from RNAcentral.